This 427-nucleotide ribosomal RNA is filed under the name uncultured bacterium. RNAcentral's name for it is "bacterial SSU rRNA". It matches the Rfam family "Bacterial small subunit ribosomal RNA", at positions 355 to 774 of the family's 1533-position model. The record is from RNAcentral.
UGGGGAAUUUUGGACAAUGGGCGCAAGCCUGAUCCAGCCAUGCCGCGUGCAGGAUGAAGGCCUUCGGGUUGUAAACUGCUUUUGUACGGAACGAAAAGGUGCCUUCUAAUAAAGGGCGCUCAUGACGGUACCGUAAGAAUAAGCACCGGCUAACUACGUGCCAGCAGCCGCGGUAAUACGUAGGGUGCAAGCGUUAAUCGGAAUUACUGGGCGUAAAGCGUGCGCAGGCGGUUUUGUAAGACAGAGGUGAAAUCCCCAGGCUCAACCUGGGAACUGCCUUUGUGACUGCAAGGCUGGAGUGCGGCAGAGGGGGAUGGAAUUCCGCGUGUAGCAGUGAAAUGCGUAGAUAUGCGGAGGAACACCGAUGGCGAAGGCAAUCCCCUGGACCUGUACUGACGCUCAUGCACGAAAGCGUGGGGAGCAAACA